This 2894-nucleotide long non-coding RNA is filed under the name Sarcophilus harrisii (Tasmanian devil). RNAcentral's name for it is "lncRNA (ENSSHAG00000025386.1)". The record is from RNAcentral. Lineage: Eukaryota; Metazoa; Chordata; Mammalia; Dasyuromorphia; Dasyuridae.
AAAUAAACACUAAAAAGGCUUUAGGAAAGGAAUAGAAAGUCAGGAGGUCAGUUUAGUUCCCUUCAUUCUACUAAGCAACCUGAAGGGAAACAUAUGUAGCCAGUGAUGCCUUCCAGAGUUUUGAAAGGCAGAAAAAUAUAACUUGAAAAGCUAACAGUGGAAACUCUUAGCUAAUAAUUUCACUUUAUUCUGAAGCUAAAGUCUUCAGACUUUUAGCUAACUGUCUUGCUAUAUGUAGCACUAAUAUAUCUCACAUAUGUAUGUAUGUAUACACCCAGAGAGAUUGAUUGCAAUUGCAAUCUCCAAGUUUGAAAAGAGUCAACUUACUGUUCUGAGACAGUGGUUCUCAAAGUGUGGUCCAAAGAAUCCUGGGAUCUCUGAAACCCUUUCAGAGGGGCCUACAAAUUCAAAAUUAGUUUUUAUUUCCAAUGUGGUAAAUAUAUAAAUACAAUCCAUAUAAACAAAAACUCUUUGGACAGUUCCUCAGUUUUUAGUAGUAUAAAGGAUACCAAGAACAAAAAUUUAAGAACCAUUAUUCUAAGGUAAUGAAUUUCUUGAUUACUAUUCAGCAUCAUGACUUGCAAAUUCAUUAUUUAUUUUCUUCAAAUUUUAGGUAUCCCUAGUAUAUAAGGUCUCAAGUUUCUUUUUUAAAUGGAAGUAUAUAUUGAUAUAAAGAAAAUAGAUUACUUUAGGGCAUAGAGGUAGAAGAGAGUUUAGAAUGCUGUGCAGCAAAGUACUCCUCUGUUUGAUCACCCCACAGUUGCUGCAGAUAAAGCAAGUGGUAGCCAACUGUUCAACACUCAUAACUGAGUUAGGAGGAAGAUUAUUAUAUCUUGGAUCAACCUGACCCAUAGUGAGUCAAAGGGACCAAUAAAGUCAUGUUGAGGAACUAGGUAAUUUCUUCCCUCAAGUAGUGAGUAAGGGGCGUGUGUGUGUGUGUGUGUGUGUGUGUGUGUGUGUGUGUGUGAGAGAGAGAAGGAUCUUGGCUCAUGCUAUUCUGGAAUCCAUUCACAAUAAGGAAUCAAUAAUAAAAGAUGUGGACAAAUCUAACGUGGAGUUCCCAUUUUAUGUUUUGUUGCCUUGCAUUUCCUUCCUGUCUGUCCAUGAUGCCUGUUACAGACACAAAAUAGAAUGUAAAUCAAACACAUUACUUUUCCUUGGUACAAAAUUCUUUGAGAUAAUGUUCAGUUUCUAAGUACAUAUCACAAAUGAUCUUUCAAAAUUAUUUGAAAGAACCUUAAACUGGAGUCUAAAGACCUCAGUUCUAAUGUUGGCACUGUCACCGACUUACAAGGUGACAUAAGGCAAGUUAUCUUUUCUCUCUGGGUCUUUGUUUAAAUGAGAAUGUGAUAUCAAUCUCAAAAGGAGUCCCAUUCUCUUUUUAAUUUUUUAUCAUAGGAAGUGUCAGAAGCCAAACACUGGAAUUUGAAGGAAGGGGUUUAUUAGAGGGGAAAUAGAUGUACGUAGACAUCACAACUGGCUAGAAUAAAUUGCUUUGACUCUAGUUUGCUUCUUUUUUUGAAAACUCUUAAAAGUAUUGAGUAGCAGUUCUGCUAUGUUUGGAAAGGAUCAAGUUGAAGACAAAAGGUAGUUUGGGGAUCUGGUGGGGACCACUUGCUAAGUGUUUUUGAAAUGGAGUUUUAGAUAGAAUUUUGCAGAAGAAAAAUCAAACCUUCAUUUUCUCUAAAUCUUUGCCUGAACUAUCUAUUUUCUCCAAUCAUAGACAGUAUCUACUUAUUGGUAUCUGAAUAGCCAAGGUGUAAAACAUUUGAUAGCCCAUGUUGCUUAACUUUGUUACUGAUGAACAUAAAAACUUAAGUUGUGAAUAAUGACUCAGGGUGAUUAACAGAUAUUUUGGUACUUAUAGUCAAACUCUGCUUUAUGCCUUUUUGCUUUGGGGUAUAUAAGUUGUGAAUUUGUAAUGUUAUGUUAGAAUGUUUCAUGUUUAGCAAACCUUGAUUGUCUCCAAAUUUACUUCCAAAUAUGGCAACACUCAAAGACUGUAACAUCAAUAAUGACAUGUUCACUUUUUAGAUUUUUGUUGAGCUAAUAAGGUUUCACACCUGGAAGAUGUUAUUUUAACUGGCUGUUUGGGGGAUUCCAUAUAGAAUAAGCAAGUUAUUAGAUGAAAAUUUUAAAAAUAAAAUUUCCCCAAAGGUAGAUUUUGAGAAAUGAUUAGAUGAUCUCUGAAGUUUCAUCCAGCUAUAAAAUUCUAUCUUGUAUAUUUACUCAUGAAUUUACCACAGGAAUUGAUCAUAAAAAAAAAAAAAAAAAAAAAAAAAAAAAAAACUAGCCAUAUGGCAUACAAGUCUGGGAGUUUGGGGGUUGGGGAGAUUUUUGUAGGAAAGCAGUAAUAGCAAAUGAACCAUUGUGUUCUAGUAUAACAGAUGUGAUGAUUCAGAAUGGACCCUCAUCUGCAUAUUUUUGUAUUGAAACUUAGCCAUGACAUCUACGAAUAUGUGCAGUCUACAUCUGCAGAAGAAAAAUCAUCUAAUUCAUAGCGUAUAACAUUAAUCUUUUAGUCCAGAGAUUCUUAACAUUUUUUUCUGUUAUGAAUCCCCUUGUCAGUCUCAUUAAACAUUUGGGCUUCUUAUCAGAAGACGUUUUUAAGUGUGUAAAAUAAAUAGGAUUAAAAAGGCAACCAAUUGUUAAAAUAGUUAUUAAAAUGUUGAAAAAUAAAAUAUAGCCCCUUGAAAAUAUAUCCUAGGAUAUCUAAAUCCUACAAUGCUUUUUGGAAACAAAGUCCAGUCUAAGAAAACCAUGUUGUCACACAUUGGGACCUUUAGAUAGUCCCACUUGGGAAACGUAUAGGCUGCUGAUCUGUAGAUAAGAGCUUUUAGUCUCUAACCCUUUUAAUCACCCUGAUGAUUAAAUAAAAAUCUAUUUUUCAAAAA